CCUACGGGUAGCAGCAGUGAGGAAUAUUGGUCAAUGGGCGCAAGCCUGAACCAGCCAAGUCGCGUGAGGGAUGACGGUCCUAUGGAUUGUAAGCCUCUUUUGUCGGGGAGCAAGGCCCGCCACGUGUGGCGGGAAGGAGAGUACCCGAAGAAAAAGCAUCGGCUAACUCCGUGCCAGCAGCCGCGGUAAUACGGAGGAUGCGAGCGUUAUCCGGAUUUAUUGGGUUUAAAGGGUGCGUAGGAGGAAGGUUAAGUCAGCGGUAAAAUGUCGGGGCUCAACACCGGCCUGCCGUUGAAACUGGUCUUCUUGAGUGAGCGAGAAGUAUGCGGAAUGCGUGGUGUAGCGGUGAAAUGCAUAGAUAUCACGCAGAACUCCGAUUGCGAAGGCAGCAUACCGGCGCUCAACUGACGCUGAGGCACGAAAGCGUGGGGAUCGAACAGGAUUAGAUACCCGAGUAGUC
RNAcentral lists this ribosomal RNA (460 nucleotides) under uncultured bacterium. Its description in RNAcentral is "partial 16S ribosomal RNA". It matches the Rfam family "Bacterial small subunit ribosomal RNA", at positions 338 to 795 of the family's 1533-position model. The record is from RNAcentral.